Molecule: ribosomal RNA, 460 nt
Filed under: uncultured bacterium
Lineage: Bacteria
Description: partial 16S ribosomal RNA
Rfam family: Bacterial small subunit ribosomal RNA
Source: RNAcentral
CCUACGGGUGGCAGCAGUGAGGAAUAUUGGUCAAUGGGCGCGAGUCUGAACCAGCCAAGUAGCGUGAAGGAUGACUGCCCUACGGGUUGUAAACUUCUUUUAUAUGGGAAUAAAGUGUGCCACGUGUGGGUUUUUGUCUGUACCUUAUGAAUAAGGAUCGACUAACUCCGUGCCAGCAGCCGCGGUAAUACGGAGGAUCCGAUCGUUAUCCGGAUUUAUUGGGUUUAAAGGGAGCGUAGGUGGAUUGUUAAGUCAGUUGUGAAAGUUUGCGGCUCAACCGUAAAAUUGCAGUUGAAACUGGCAGUCUUGAGUACAGUAGAGGUAGGCGGAAUUCGUGGUGUAGCGGUGAAAUGCUUAGAUAUCACGAAGAACUCCGAUUGCGAAGGCAGCUUACUAAACUGCCACUGACACUGAUGCUCGAAAGUGUGGGUAUCAAACAGGAUUAGAUACCCGGGUAGUC